Daphnia pulex (common water flea) is the source of this 1443-nucleotide long non-coding RNA. RefSeq lists it as uncharacterized. The transcript is spliced from 8 exons. NCBI's taxonomy places the organism in Eukaryota, Metazoa, Arthropoda, Branchiopoda, Diplostraca, Daphniidae. The record is from RefSeq and is a predicted model, not a curated record.
CGCCAUUUCUUUUCUCUUUUUUCUCGAUGGUUCUCAUUGUUCGUUAGACUCUCCCGCGCUGCAGUUGUUAAAUGUCUCUGCUCUGAUGAGCUUGUGUUAUUUGGUUACCAACCUGUUAAAUGACAUAAAUGUGGAAUGAUUUCGUGUUGAACGGUGUUUAACCUACACUGUGUAUUUUCUUUCAUGAAAUUUGAAACUGUUCCUGUGCGUGCAAUAGCAGAUUCGUCAAUUUUGGAGAAACAGAAAAGCCACGUGAUCAGACAGGAGAAUUGUAAUUCGUGGUAUUUAAUGACCGGCAGUUCGCCGAAAAGACGAAGCGAUCGGAGUGCCAAUAUCGUGUGGGUGUGGUAAACCGCCAGUUGCCGUUCUGGAAUCAACAAAGGAUGUUGUCAGUCAUCAAUACUUUGUUCAUGCAAAACAAAUUGUGAGUCUACUUCUACUGCUGAAUUCCCACCUACAUGGUCUCAACUCUCAAGAGGUCACGAACUAAAAUAAGUAGGAGCCUGCUGGAUACAGAUAUCAUAUCCGCCCACAAUUCACUUCGUCACCUUGAUCGUUACCGUUUGACAGGGGGUAAGGAAGAAAAAAGAAACAAAAAUAGCCGUCUUGGGGCGUUCAAUCGGGAUUGGCAGAACAGUUCAAAAGUGGGAAUCGUGCUGCAAGAUAUUGACGUUAACAAACGUCGGGCUGUCUUGGCGGUUUCGCCAACUGUCGAGUCGAUGCUGGUUGCCAACUGGAAGAAUUCUAACGUGGAUACUUCAGCUGGGGGUUACAGAUAGACCUGGAACCGGAAACUAAGGUGUCGCAAUGGCAUCAGUAAUUGGUGAUAUUAAGUUAAUGUCAGAACCAACUCAACUUGAUCCCACAAAUAGUUGAAGAGUCCACGCCCAGCUGCGGAUGGCUCCAACCAGUUCUCCGUCACUCGGACCAUCUCGUACCUGGAGAUUGAAAAAAAGUACUGGGGUAUUCGAGCAUGACUCCUCCCUUCAACGGCCCCGAUAAUCCUUUUGGGUUACCACUCCAACGCGUCUUGAACAAUUGCAAAACGACAAAAACAAAACGCGUAAUUCAAUUGUUACAUCGACUUCGAAGUUAAUCGUCACAUCGUUUUUUUACCCAGAUGACGCGGAGGUGUUGGCCAUUGAGAGUAUUCGGCGUCAACGACAGGACUCUACUUGCCAAAAUGAUGGACCAAACGAAAAUAGGAUGGCGCGAUUGGAUUCGUCGGGAGGUUAUGCCAUCAUUAUCACGGAGCAAGGCGGCUGACAGUAAAUGGUAUUUAAGUUUCGACAUAGCUAUUCACUUGUUUAUUUAUGUCGCUGUCCUGACUGCCAAAGCCGUUAUCGAUUCCACGAAAAUGUCAGUUGCUGUUUGGCUCGUUGACUGGUAUCUUUAAUCGCAUGAAUAUUGAUUCUAUUGGUUAGGUGGUCUACAAAAAUUAUU